Molecule: ribosomal RNA, 440 nt
Filed under: uncultured bacterium
Lineage: Bacteria
Description: partial 16S ribosomal RNA
Rfam family: Bacterial small subunit ribosomal RNA
Source: RNAcentral
CCUAUGGGAGGCAGCAGUGGGGGAUAUUGCACAAUGGGGGAAACCCUGAUGCAGCGACGCCGCGUGGGUGAAGAAGCGCCUCGGCGCGUAAAGCCCUGUCAGCAGGGAAGAAAAUGACGGUACCUGAAGACGAAGCCCCGGCUAACUACGUGACAGCAGCCGCGGUAAUACGUAGGGGGCAAGCGUUAUCCGGAUUUACUGGGGGUAAAGGGGGCGCAGACGGCGAGGCAAGCCAGGAGUGAAAGCCCGGGGCCCAACCCCGGGACUGCUCUUGGUACUGCGUGGCUAGAGUGCAGGAGGGGCAGGCGGAAUUCCUGGUGUAGCGGUGAAAUGCGUAGAUAUCAGGAGGAACACCGGUGGCGAAGGCGGCCUGCUGGACUGCAACUGACGUUGAGGCCCGAAAGCGUGGGGAGCAAACAGGAUUAGAUACCCCAGUAGUC